Molecule: ribosomal RNA, 250 nt
Filed under: uncultured bacterium
Lineage: Bacteria
Description: partial 16S ribosomal RNA
Rfam family: Bacterial small subunit ribosomal RNA
Source: RNAcentral
CGUAGGGGCAAGCGUUAUCCGGAUUCAUUGGGCGUAAAGCGCGCGUAGGCGGUCUGUUAGGUCAGGAGUUAAAUCUGGGGGCUCAACCCUAUCCGCUCCUGAUACCGGCAGGCUUGAGUCUGGUAGGGAAGAUGGAAUUCCAAGUGUAGCGGUGAAAUGCGCAGAUAUUUGGAAGAACACCGGUGGCGAAGGCGGUCUCUGGGCCAUGACUGACGCUGAGGCGCGAAAGCUAGGGGGAGCGAACAGGAUU